UACGUAGGUGGCAAGCGUUGUCCGGAUUUAUUGGGUUUAAAGGGUGCGUAGGCGGCCUAUUAAGUCAGUGCUGAAAUAUCCCGGCUUAACCGGGAGGGUGGCAUUGAUACUGCAGGGCUUGAGUGAAGUCGAGGUAGGCGGAAUUGACGGUGUAGCGGUGAAAUGCUUAGAUAUCGUCAAGAACACCGAUAGUGAAGACAGCUUACUAGGCUUAUACUGACGCUGAGGCGCGAAAGCGUGGGGAGCAAACAGG
Molecule: ribosomal RNA, 253 nt
Filed under: uncultured bacterium
Lineage: Bacteria
Description: partial 16S ribosomal RNA
Rfam family: Bacterial small subunit ribosomal RNA
Source: RNAcentral